UUUAAAAGCGUAAGCUUUACUCAGCAAACUGUUAUCUAGUUUUGAGAGAGCAAUCUCUUGUCUGGUGGCGAUAGCGAAGAGGUCACACCCGUUCCCAUACCGAACACGGAAGUUAAGCUCUUUAGCGCCAAUGGUAGUUGGGACUUUGUCCCUGUGAGAGUAGGACGUUGCCAGGC
RNAcentral lists this ribosomal RNA (176 nucleotides) under Priestia megaterium. Lineage: Bacteria; Bacillati; Bacillota; Bacilli; Caryophanales; Bacillaceae. The record is from RNAcentral.